RNAcentral lists this ribosomal RNA (876 nucleotides) under Bacillus sp. (in: firmicutes). RNAcentral describes it as "bacterial SSU rRNA". It matches the Rfam family "Bacterial small subunit ribosomal RNA", at positions 18 to 874 of the family's 1533-position model. Lineage: Bacteria; Bacillati; Bacillota; Bacilli; Caryophanales; Bacillaceae. The record is from RNAcentral.
UCAUGCUCAGGACGAACGCUGGCGGCGUGCCUAAUACAUGCAAGUCGAGCGGACCUUUCAAAAGCUUGCUUUUGGAAGGUCAGCGGCGGACGGGUGAGUAACACGUGGGCAACCUGCCUGUGAGACUGGGAUAACUUCGGGAAACCGGAGCUAAUACCGGAUAAUAUAAGGAACCUCCUGGUUCUUUAUUGAAAGAUGGUUUCGGCUAUCACUCACAGAUGGGCCCGCGGCGCAUUAGCUAGUUGGUGAGGUAACGGCUCACCAAGGCGACGAUGCGUAGCCGACCUGAGAGGGUGAUCGGCCACACUGGGACUGAGACACGGCCCAGACUCCUACGGGAGGCAGCAGUAGGGAAUCUUCCACAAUGGACGAAAGUCUGAUGGAGCAACGCCGCGUGAGCGAUGAAGGCCUUCGGGUCGUAAAGCUCUGUUGUUAGGGAAGAACAAGUGCGAGAGUAACUGCUCGCACCUUGACGGUACCUAACCAGAAAGCCACGGCUAACUACGUGCCAGCAGCCGCGGUAAUACGUAGGUGGCAAGCGUUGUCCGGAAUUAUUGGGCGUAAAGCGCGCGCAGGUGGUCCUUUAAGUCUGAUGUGAAAGCCCACGGCUCAACCGUGGAGGGUCAUUGGAAACUGGGGGACUUGAGUGCAGAAGAGGAAAGUGGAAUUCCAAGUGUAGCGGUGAAAUGCGUAGAGAUUUGGAGGAACACCAGUGGCGAAGGCGACUUUCUGGUCUGUAACUGACACUGAGGCGCGAAAGCGUGGGGAGCAAACAGGAUUAGAUACCCUGGUAGUCCACGCCGUAAACGAUGAGUGCUAAGUGUUAGAGGGUUUCCGCCCUUUAGUGCUGCAGCUAACGCAUUAAGCACUCCGCCU